AAUCAACGCUGGCGGCGUGCCUAACACAUGCAAGUCGAGCGCGAAAGGGGAGCAAUCCCCAAGUAGAGCGGCGAACGGGUGAGUAACGCGUGGGUAAUCUGCCUCCGAGUGGGGAACAACACCGGGAAACUGGUGCUAAUACCGCAUGACAUCGUUGGACCUUCGGAUCUGACGAUCAAAGCCGGGGACCGGCAAGGCCUGGCGCUUGGAGAGGAGCCCGCGUCCGAUUAGCUAGUUGGUGGGGUAAUGCCCACCAAGGCUACGAUCGGUAGCCGGCCUGAGAGGGCGGACGGCCACACUGGGACUGAGACACGGCCCAGACUCCUACGGGAGGCAGCAGUGGGGAAUUUUUCGCAAUGGGCGAAAGCCUGACGAAGCAACGCCGCGUGGAGGAUGAAGGCC
RNAcentral lists this ribosomal RNA (402 nucleotides) under uncultured bacterium. Its description in RNAcentral is "bacterial SSU rRNA". It matches the Rfam family "Bacterial small subunit ribosomal RNA", at positions 29 to 416 of the family's 1533-position model. The record is from RNAcentral.